AGAGUUUGAUCNNUGGCUCAGGACGAACGCUGGCGGCGUGCUUAAUACAUGCAAGUCGAGCGGACCUUUGCCGUUUGUUGCCGGUUUCCGGCGACAAAUGGCAACGGUUAGCGGCGAACGGGUGAGUAACGCGUGGGUAAUCUGCCCCCAAGACCGGGAUAACAGGGCGAAAGCGCUGCUAAUACCGGAUGACCUCUCUUUAUCGCAUGGUGAAGGGAGCAAAGCUACGGCGCUUGGGGAUGAGCCCGCGUUCCAUUAGCUAGUUGGUGAGGUAACAGCUCACCAAGGCGACGAUGGAUAGCCGGCCUGAGAGGGUGACCGGCCACACUGGGACUGAGACACGGCCCAGACUCCUACGGGAGGCAGCAGUAGGGAAUUUUCGGCAAUGGGGGAAACCCUGACCGAGCAACGCCGCGUGAGGGAUGAAGGCCUUCGGGUCGUAAACCUCUGUCUUUGGGGACGAUAAUGACGGUACCCGAGGAGGAAGCCCCGGCUAACUACGUGCCAGCAGCCGCGGUAAU
Molecule: ribosomal RNA, 521 nt
Filed under: uncultured bacterium
Lineage: Bacteria
Description: bacterial SSU rRNA
Rfam family: Bacterial small subunit ribosomal RNA
Source: RNAcentral